GAUGAACGCUGGCGGCGUGCCUAAUACAUGCAAGUCGAGCGAACGGACGAGAAGCUUGCUUCUCUGAUGUUAGCGGCGGACGGGUGAGUAACACGUGGAUAACCUACCUAUAAGACUGGGAUAACUUCGGGAAACCGGAGCUAAUACCGGAUAAUAUUUUGAACCGCAUGGUUCAAAAGUGAAAGACGGUCUUGCUGUCACUUAUAGAUGGAUCCGCGCUGCAUUAGCUAGUUGGUAAGGUAACGGCUUACCAAGGCAACGAUGCAUAGCCGACCUGAGAGGGGGGGCGGCCAGACGAGAACUGAGAAACGGUACAGACUCAGACGGGAGGCAGCAGUAGGGAAUCGUCCGGAAUGGGCGAAAGCCGGAAGGAGGAACGCAGCGUGAGUGAUGAAGGUCUUAGGAUCGUAAAACUCUGUUAUUAGGGAAGAAAAAAUGGGUAAGUAACUGUGCACAGCUGGAAGGGACCUAAUCAGAAAGACAAGGAUAAGUAAGUG
RNAcentral lists this ribosomal RNA (497 nucleotides) under uncultured bacterium. RNAcentral describes it as "partial 16S ribosomal RNA". It matches the Rfam family "Bacterial small subunit ribosomal RNA", at positions 28 to 507 of the family's 1533-position model. The record is from RNAcentral.